This 601-nucleotide long non-coding RNA is filed under the name Carica papaya (papaya). Its description in RNAcentral is "long non-coding RNA (CPAP_LNC002204)". Lineage: Eukaryota; Viridiplantae; Streptophyta; Magnoliopsida; Brassicales; Caricaceae. The record is from RNAcentral.
UUCAAUCUUUUUUUAUUUUACACUAACUGGCUUUAGGCGUGAAAAUCGUCACCCAAAUCUCAAGUAAGCAAGGGAGCCGUGGGGUGGCUAGAGGAAAUCAUCUGGAGCUGAACUGAGGCCGAAUCACACCAUGCUGAGAGGGUAAACUUUUAUUCUGUUCUUUUAGUUGGCUGUUGAGCGACGAGGGAAUGGUGGUCAGUGUCGGGCUUGUCGUGCAAGCUCGGUCGGUCACCCACCCACUUGGGAAUCGAGGAGCCUUCCUCAGGUGUGGGAAAUUGACCCAUUAGUGAAAGCCAAGGGGCCUUCCUCGUGAAUGGGAACUCGAUUCACCCACACGGGAAUUCAGUUCACCACCCAAAAAGCCGAAGAGUCUUCCUCGGGUACAGAACCCGAUAUUUUCGAGCAUUCCAUCAGGUUGUCAUUGAAACCCAUAAUUAUGAUUAAAAUUAGCAUUUAUUUAGUGUUUAAGUUACACUAAUUAAUUUGUGUCGUGUGUGUACAGGAAAUUAGGACGUUCAAGCGGAUCUGGGAUGAUUAUUGCGCAAAGAAGUUGUAGGUAUUUUUGAUUCUGAAAUUAUAUUAGGAUUUUGGAAUUAUGCAU